AACCUUUAGCUAAACAAAUAUUAAAGGCAACGCCUGCCCAGUGAAUAAUUAAACGGCCGCGGUACCCUAACCGUGCAAAGGUAGCAUAAUCAUUUGUCUACUAAUUAUAGACCAGUAUGAAAGGCAAAAUGAGGGUCCAACUGUCUCUUAUGAUAAAUCAAUGAAACUGAUCUUCUAGUAAAAAAGCUGGAAUUCCCCCAUAAGACCAGAAGACCCUGUGAAGCUUAAACUAAACUAUUAAACCCUAUAAUAGCUACUUUCGGUUGGGGCGACCUUGGAAAAAAAAAGAACUUCCAACACAAUGACUAUAACUCAUACAACCCUAGGCCUACAAGCCAACAAUUGACCCAGCACAGCUGAUAAUCGAACCAAGCUACUCCAGGGAUAACAGCGCAAUCUUCUUCAAGAGCCCAUAUCAAAAAGCAAGGUUUACGACCUCGAUGUUGGAUCAGGACAUCCUAAUGGUGCAGCCGCUAUUAAGGGUUCGUUUGUUCAACGAUUAAUAGUCCU
This 510-nucleotide ribosomal RNA is filed under the name Rhynchocalamus melanocephalus (Black-headed ground snake). RNAcentral describes it as "partial 16S ribosomal RNA". It matches the Rfam family "Bacterial large subunit ribosomal RNA", at positions 1816 to 2597 of the family's 2925-position model. The record is from RNAcentral. Lineage: Eukaryota; Metazoa; Chordata; Lepidosauria; Squamata; Colubridae.